AGAGUUUGAUCCUGGCUCAGGAUGAACGCUGGCGGCGUGCUUAACACAUGCAAGUCGAACGGUGAAGCAGGAGCUUGCUCUUGUGGAUCAGUGGCGAACGGGUGAGUAACACGUGAGCAACCUGCCCCUGACUCUGGGAUAAGCGCUGGAAACGGCGUCUAAUACUGGAUAUGUGACGUGACCGCAUGGUCUGCGUUUGGAAAGAUUUUUCGGUUGGGGAUGGGCUCGCGGCCUAUCAGCUUGUUGGUGAGGUAAUGGCUCACCAAGGCGUCGACGGGUAGCCGGCCUGAGAGGGUGACCGGCCACACUGGGACUGAGACACGGCCCAGACUCCUACGGGAGGCAGCAGUGGGGAAUAUUGCACAAUGGGCGAAAGCCUGAUGCAGCAACGCCGCGUGAGGGAUGACGGCCUUCGGGUUGUAAACCUCUUUUAGCAGGGAAGAAGCGAAAAG
RNAcentral lists this ribosomal RNA (452 nucleotides) under Microbacterium paraoxydans. RNAcentral's name for it is "bacterial SSU rRNA". It matches the Rfam family "Bacterial small subunit ribosomal RNA", at positions 8 to 457 of the family's 1533-position model. Lineage: Bacteria; Bacillati; Actinomycetota; Actinomycetes; Micrococcales; Microbacteriaceae. The record is from RNAcentral.